UGCCAGGUAACUGCUAAUUGAACUUCAGUUUUGCUGCCUCAGCUUUUUGCUUGCAGGAGUGUGAAUGUAAAAGUUUCAUUUUCAACCUAGAUUGCUCAGAGAACAUUGCUCAAACAAUACAGCAAAUGAAGGGCAUGCCUUUGGAUCCUCUGGGAAUGACUGAAGUUCCUGAACACGCGUGUCUAGCAUUACUUGAGAUGCCCUUGCUUUUCUGUCUGACUUCCAGUGGCUGAUCCAGAAGGGCAAUUUCUUUCCCAGAGGUCCAGUGUCAGCCCUGACAGCCCUGUAAGGAGGGCUCAGAAUGAACAACUCUCAGCACCAGGAAGCAACCACUGUCUGCUCGUGCCUGC
Long non-coding RNA from Passer domesticus (house sparrow), 350 nucleotides. RefSeq lists it as uncharacterized. NCBI's taxonomy places the organism in Eukaryota, Metazoa, Chordata, Aves, Passeriformes, Passeridae. The transcript is spliced from 3 exons. The record is from RefSeq and is a predicted model, not a curated record.